AGAGUUUGAUCCUGGCUCAGGACGAACGCUGGCGGCGUGCUUAACACAUGCAAGUCGAACGGUAAGGGUGCUUUCGGGUGCCCCUAGAGUGGCGAACGGGUGAGUAACACGUGAGUAAUCUGCCCUUGACUCUGGGAUAACAGUUGGAAACAGUUGCUAAUACCGGAUAUGACCUGGGGACGCAUGUUCCUGGGUGGAAAGUUCUGGCGGUCAGGGAUGAGCUCGCGGCCUAUCAGCUUGUUGGUGGGGUAGUGGCCUACCAAGGCGUCGACGGGUAGCCGGCCUGAGAGGGCGACCGGCCACACUGGGACUGAGAUACAGACUCCUACGGGAGGCAGCAGUGGGGAAUAUUGCACAAUGGGCGAAAGCCUGAUGCAGCAACGCCGCGUGCGGGAUGACGGCCUUCGGGUUGUAAACCGCUUUCAGCAGGGACGAAGCUAACGUGACGGUACCUGCAGAAGAAGCACCGGCUAACUACGUGCCAGCAGCCGCGGUGAUACGUAGGCGUUGUCCGGAAUUAUUGGGCGUAAAGAGCUCGUAGGCGGUCUGUUGCGUCGAAAGUGAAAACUCAGGGCUUAACCCUGAGCCUGCUUUCGAUACGGGCAGACUGGAGGAAGGUAGGGGAGAAUGGAAUUCCUGGUGGAGCGGUGGAAUGCGCAGAUAUCAGGAGGAACACCAAUGGCGAAGGCAGUUCUCUGGACCUUUCCUGACGCUGAGGAGCGAAAGCGUGGGGAGCAAACAGGCUUAGAUACCCUGGUAGUCCACGCUGUAAACGGGGGACCAUUCCACGGUCUCUGUGCCGUAGCUAACGCAUUAAGUACCCCGCCUGGGGAGUACGGCCGCAAGGCUAAAACUCAAAGGAAUUGACGGGGCCCCGCACAAGCGGCGGAGCAUGCGGAUUAAUUCGAUGCAACGCGACUUACCUGGGUUUGACAUGGACUGGAAGCGUUCAGAGAUGGGCGUGCCUUUUUGGCUGGUUCACAGGUGGUGCAUGGCUGUCGUCAGCUCGUGUCGUGAGAUGUUGGGUUAAGUCCCGCAACGAGCGCAACCCUCGUCCUAUGUUGCCAGCGGUUCGGCCGGACUCAUAGGAGACUGCCGGGGUCAACUCGGAGGAAGGUGGGGAUGACGUCAAGUCAUCAUGCCCCUUAUGUCCAGGGCUUCACGCAUGCUACAAUGGCCGGUACAAAGGGCUGCAAUCCAGCAAUGGUGAGCGAAUCCCAAAAAGCCGGUCUCAGUUCGGAUUGGGGUCUGCAACUCGACCCCAUGAAGUCGGAGUCGCUAGUAAUCGCAGAUCAGCAACGCUGCGGUGAAUACGUUCCCGGGGCUUGUACACACCGCCCGUCAAGUCAUGAAAGUCGGUAACACCCGAAGCCGGUGGCCUAACCCUUUUUGGGAGGGAGCUGUCGAAGGUGGGACCGGUAAUUAGGACUAAGUCGUAACAAGGUAGCCGUACCGGAAGGUGCGGCUG
RNAcentral lists this ribosomal RNA (1468 nucleotides) under termite gut metagenome. Its description in RNAcentral is "bacterial SSU rRNA". It matches the Rfam family "Bacterial small subunit ribosomal RNA". The record is from RNAcentral.